This is a non-coding RNA of Rattus norvegicus (Norway rat), 684 nucleotides long. Lineage: Eukaryota; Metazoa; Chordata; Mammalia; Rodentia; Muridae. The record is from RefSeq and is a predicted model, not a curated record.
GGGACGCAUGCCCUCUUUGAUUAGUUUAUGUUGGUCUCCUUCUCAAUUAUUUUAUUAACUUUGUGCCCUUAGGCUACCUACUCAAGAGGAACUCUCACUUGCUUGUUUUCUCAGAAAGCAGGGGAGAAUAUCCUUGCUACUGUGAACGAAGUCUGUUUAGCUAAGGAAUACAAGGGAGAGAGCAGGGUUCCUGCAGUCAUUCUGGUGAUGUACAAUGGACAGCAGAGCAGAGAACUGAAUGUUCUGGAAGCUUGGUGGGGCAUACUCAGGUAUCAUACAGUACUACUUAAGAAAUACCAUUCCCCCAUGUUGGAAUGAUUACAGAAAAACACGUCAGCACACAAGAGGUAGCUGAAAAAGAAAAAUGGCACCUGAAACUUCAACCCUUUCAAGACCAAAGCCACGAUCUCUAGCCGCUGAACUUCUGACGUUCCCACUUGCUUUGUGUGAAAUCUAAAGUGCCAUUAUGUCCCGCUUCUCUUUGGCCCUGGCUUCCCAAAGCUGUCUCUCAGUUCUUCAGUGUUAGCCUUAGUGCCCUGGCCGGUGCUUAUCCACUUCCAUGCCUAAUUCUACCCGGCGUCUGCCAAGCACAAGUGCUCUGUCACUUCUGUUUCCUUUUUUAUCUGCAGUCCCAGUCGCAAGAGCUGACACAAGGUAUGCACUCAAUAAAUGUCAAAUAAAUAA